GGCCGUCGGGACUUGUAGUUCUCCGGCUCCCUCAAGGCCCGCGCAGCCGCCUCCAGAGCGACUCUUCAGAAACUACGACUUCCGGCGACUCAGAUGUCGCGGGACGGGAUUGGCAACUUAAGAAUCAGUCUAUGUAGCAGGUAGGAGGCUGAUUGGCUCUGUGCAUCCGUCACUCACAGGUUUAAUAGUCUCUUCAAAAGGGAGGAUGGCCCCAAAAAGAAAUGCUGUGGCGCUAUUGGUGGAAUCAAGGAGUAGACAGCGGAGCGUAUCAGCAGCGGGGGUGGAGGAUGGUACUUCCGCUGGGAUUGCCCAAUCGCCGAGGUGGGGCAGUUUCUAUAAAAGCUUGAACCUCAGCCGUCCUCGCUCUUUUGGGAUAAACUUCAGGGCGGAAGAGCAUUGCCUCCGUGUGCUACGCUUGGAGAGGACCUGAGCACCGAGUGAAGCUGAGGGGGUCGCCCAAACCCGUAGGCCGGCAUAGCCCCGGGGUCGUGGUCCUCGGCACUGUCACAUGUUCCUUCCGCGCUCACCUCCCCAGUUCCGGCGGGGAAGUCCGAACCUCCAGACCUGCAGCUUCCCACAGUGCCGUUGAUGGGCUGGUUGGAGACCUUGAAUGUGAAUCAGCGUCAGUCAGUCCAGGGGACCUGGUGGUAAGUAAGGCUGGAGAAGUACUGUGAGAAGCAAAUGAUCUUUUCAUACAUCUUUCAUUCCAAGAUGUAACCCAGACAUGCGGAAGGCAUUUUGUGACUUAACUUGAGACUAACAGUCCACAUCUGCCCGAAGUGCUUAGCAAUAAAAGCAAAAGUGGUAUGAGUUGA
Molecule: long non-coding RNA, 815 nt
Organism: Myotis lucifugus (little brown bat)
Lineage: Eukaryota; Metazoa; Chordata; Mammalia; Chiroptera; Vespertilionidae
Exons: 2
Source: RefSeq, a predicted model, not a curated record